GCGAGGUCGACGGUGGCCGGAGGUGAUCGGGUGGCGGCCGUAGGUGGCCGAACGGGACCGACCAGAGGUGAAACAGAGGCUGGACAGAGGCGGUAGCUCGGCUGGGCGAGGCGAACGGCAUUCGAGCGGGAGAGCGCGAAGCGGACGGGGCGGCGGUGCGGCAGCUUCGGUGCGACGGCGUCCAAGCAGCUGGUCGCGGCUCCUUCCGGCGACGCUGGACCUGCUUCUACUUCUGCUAUUUGGUUCUGUUCGAACCAGAGGGAGGAGAGGGGCGAAGCUAUGCACAGGCAGCAGGAC
This 297-nucleotide long non-coding RNA is filed under the name Eucalyptus grandis. Its description in RNAcentral is "long non-coding RNA (EGRA_LNC007525)". The record is from RNAcentral. Lineage: Eukaryota; Viridiplantae; Streptophyta; Magnoliopsida; Myrtales; Myrtaceae.